AUGGAAAAAGCCCUGUUGCUGUGGAUGAGGCAAAAACAGCUCACUGUGCUAGCCAGCCAAACAAGCACCUGCAUCCUCAGGACAAGCCCAAGUACAACACAGUCACUGUACCUGCAGACCUGCAGGUGCUACAUGUGCAUCUCCCAGCAACUGCCCAAUAUAACAGAACACAGCUCUCAUCAGAAGGAAAUGACAAUUCUUGCCAUAUUUUUUCAAGCUUUUUUUUUCUUUUGUAUGAGUAAACCAGGCACAAAUUCAGCACAGCCAAACACUGAUUUACUGCCACUCUUCUCAUUUUACCACCUUAAUAAAACAUCCAGAAAACGAGAAUGGAUGAAUAUAAAAUUAUUGCUGAUAAUAAAACAGAGUCCAAAGAUGCAUUUUCCCCAUAUUAUUACUCUAUGACAGUCCCA
Molecule: long non-coding RNA, 413 nt
Filed under: Coturnix japonica (Japanese quail)
Lineage: Eukaryota; Metazoa; Chordata; Aves; Galliformes; Phasianidae
Description: lncRNA (ENSCJPG00005009459.1)
Source: RNAcentral